CAUGGGCUCAGGAUGAAACGCUGGCGGCGUGCUUAACACAUGCAAGUCGAACGAUGAAGGGGAGCUUGCUCCUGGAUUAGUGGCGAACGGGUGAGUAACACGUGAGUAACCUGCCCUUGACUCUGGGAUAAGCCUGGGAAACUGGGUCUAAUACCGGAUAUGACCUUCCAUCGCAUGGUGGUUGGUGGAAAGCUUUUGUGGUUUUGGAUGGACUCGCGGCCUAUCAGCUUGUUGGUGAGGUAAUGGCUUACCAAGGCGACGACGGGUAGCCGGCCUGAGAGGGUGACCGGCCACACUGGGACUGAGACACGGCCCAGACUCCUACGGGAGGCAGCAGUGGGGAAUAUUGCACAAUGGGCGCAAGCCUGAUGCAGCGACGCCGCGUGAGGGAUGACGGCCUUCGGGUUGUAAACCUCUUUCAGUAGGGAAGAAGCCGCAAGGUGACGGUACCUGCAGAAGAAGCGCCGGCUAACUACGUGCCAGCAGCCGCGGUAAUACGUAGGGCGCAAGCGUUAUCCGGAAUUAUUGGGCGUAAAGAGCUCGUAGGCGGUUUGUCGCGUCUGCCGUGAAAGUCCGGGGCUCAACUCCGGAUCUGCGGUGGGUACGGGCAGACUAGAGUGAUGUAGGGGAGACUGGAAUUCCUGGUGUAGCGGUGAAAUGCGCAGAUAUCAGGAGGAACACCGAUGGCGAAGGCAGGUCUCUGGGCAUUAACUGACGCUGAGGAGCGAAAGCAUGGGGAGCGAACAGGAUUAGAUACCCUGGUAGUCCA
This 769-nucleotide ribosomal RNA is filed under the name Pseudarthrobacter enclensis. RNAcentral describes it as "bacterial SSU rRNA". It matches the Rfam family "Bacterial small subunit ribosomal RNA", at positions 17 to 797 of the family's 1533-position model. The record is from RNAcentral. Lineage: Bacteria; Bacillati; Actinomycetota; Actinomycetes; Micrococcales; Micrococcaceae.